RNAcentral lists this ribosomal RNA (581 nucleotides) under Priestia megaterium. RNAcentral describes it as "bacterial SSU rRNA". It matches the Rfam family "Bacterial small subunit ribosomal RNA", at positions 173 to 747 of the family's 1533-position model. The record is from RNAcentral. Lineage: Bacteria; Bacillati; Bacillota; Bacilli; Caryophanales; Bacillaceae.
GAUCUUCUCCUUCAUGGGAGAUGAUUGAAAGAUGGUUUCGGCUAUCACUUACAGAUGGGCCCGCGGUGCAUUAGCUAGUUGGUGAGGUAACGGCUCACCAAGGCAACGAUGCAUAGCCGACCUGAGAGGGUGAUCGGCCACACUGGGACUGAGACACGGCCCAGACUCCUACGGGAGGCAGCAGUAGGGAAUCUUCCGCAAUGGACGAAAGUCUGACGGAGCAACGCCGCGUGAGUGAUGAAGGCUUUCGGGUCGUAAAACUCUGUUGUUAGGGAAGAACAAGUACAAGAGUAACUGCUUGUACCUUGACGGUACCUAACCAGAAAGCCACGGCUAACUACGUGCCAGCAGCCGCGGUAAUACGUAGGUGGCAAGCGUUAUCCGGAAUUAUUGGGCGUAAAGCGCGCGCAGGCGGUUUCUUAAGUCUGAUGUGAAAGCCCACGGCUCAACCGUGGAGGGUCAUUGGAAAACUGGGGAACUUGAGUGCAGAAGAGAAAAGCGGAAUUUCCACGUGUAGCGGUGAAAUGCGUAGAGAUGUGAGGAACACCAGUGGCGAGCGGCUUUUGGUCUGUACUGACGCU